Molecule: ribosomal RNA, 484 nt
Filed under: uncultured bacterium
Lineage: Bacteria
Description: partial 16S ribosomal RNA
Rfam family: Bacterial small subunit ribosomal RNA
Source: RNAcentral
AUUGAACGCUGGCGGCAUGCUUUACACAUGCAAGUCGAACGGCAGCGCGGGCUUCGGCCUGGCGGCGAGUGGCGAACGGGUGAGUAAUACAUCGGAACGUGCCCAGUAGUGGGGGAUAGCUCGGCGAAAGCCGGAUUAAUACCGCAUACGACCUGAGGGUGAAAGCGGGGGAUCUUCGGACCUCGCGCUAUUGGAGCGGCCGAUGGCAGAUUAGCUAGUUGGUGGGGUAAAGGCCUACCAAGGCGACGAUCUGUAGCUGGUCUGAGAGGACGACCAGCCACACUGGGACUGAGACACGGCCCAGACUCCUACGGGAGGCAGCAGUGGGGAAUUUUGGACAAUGGGCGAAAGCCUGAUCCAGCAAUGCCGCGUGUGUGAUGAAGGCCUUCGGGUUGUAAAGCACUUUUGGCGGGAACGAAAAGGACUGUGCCAAUACCACGGUUCGAUGACGGUACCCGCAGAGUAAGCACCGGCUAACUACGUG